CAAAAUAGCAUUACUUGAAGUGCCUUUCCCCCUGUAAUCCGACUCCAUCGUCUUUAACGUGUUUGGAAUUGUGUACACAGUUUAUUGUUAUUGGUUUCCUUAGCCUUUUUAGAACCAAGCAACGCCAAUUACCAACAAAAUCCGUUGCGCCGCAGUGAGUUAGCUACCUUCUAUCUCCACUUUGUUCUGCACGUCGAUCUCAGGAGAAGCCAGCUCCCAUGUUAAGAAGUUCAAAUACCUAGAGACUGCGAUGGUUUGCAGAGGCUCAAGCUAACCACAUGGAAAGACAUGGAGAGAUAUUCCUUGCCAACCCUCAACUACUCCAACUAUUCUAAGACAUCAAACCUGUGAGUGAAAAAGCCAUCUCAUACCUUACAACUCUAGCAGAUGCCACAUAGUGUAGAGAUAAGCUCUCUCUGUCAUUCUCUGUCAAAAUUGUAAAAUCAUAAGCAAAUAAAUAAUCACAGUUGCUUCAAGUUACUACAUUUGAGCAUAGUAUUUUAAGCCACUGCAUUUGAGAUGGUUUGUUAUACAGCAAUAGAUAACUAAAAAACAAAGUCCCUUGAUUUAGACUUGUCCACUCAACUUGCUUGGCCAAUGGAAUGGGGUAGAAGUGAUGGUGUGCUUAUUCCCAGCCUGGGCCUUAAAAGGCUUUGCCUAUUUCCACUUGCCUUCUUGUACUUCUGCUAUUGUCAUAAGAAAAACAAACCGCAGGUCACCCACCGGUCUGAAGAGGAGGAUGAGAGACAAAGAAAAAAGUUGUCUGGCUGCCUCUGCUGUCUACAGAUUGAAGAAGAUCCAUCCAGCUGAGCCCAGCCUAGACCAGCUGACUUCUCCAAUAAGCCUGUAUGAAAUAAAUGCUUAUUGUUAUGUG
This 874-nucleotide long non-coding RNA is filed under the name Homo sapiens (human). Its description in RNAcentral is "PREDICTED lncRNA (TCONS_00223615)". The record is from RNAcentral. Lineage: Eukaryota; Metazoa; Chordata; Mammalia; Primates; Hominidae.